This 706-nucleotide long non-coding RNA is filed under the name Homo sapiens (human). RNAcentral's name for it is "HSALNT0107506". The record is from RNAcentral. Lineage: Eukaryota; Metazoa; Chordata; Mammalia; Primates; Hominidae.
CAGCUCAGUCAGUGCCAUUCCUGAGUUACUGGACUAUGCCUUGAGGUUUUUCAACUACCUACACCUGUAUAAAGAGUACCUAAAUCAAGCAUUCUUAAGAGUCAUCCAAUUUCAGAUAACUUGCAGUUUAUUCUAAUUGGAGUAUCCCAUCUGCUUCCUGUUGGUUCCCUGACUGACACUGGUAAAUAUUUCAAGUUUAGAUCAAUUGACUUCCUAACACCAGUGACAUAUCCAUGUGGAGUCACCUAAUAGUCAACUGGAAAAUAUGAUUUUGGCACUGGUAAGUGGGAUCAAGCUAGAACAAUUAAAUUUCAAGAUGUCCAAUAUCUUCCUUACAUCUCUCUCACCCCAGAUGAGAAAGCAAAUUUACCCUUGUGAUUUCUAGGGGGAAAAAUGCUGUAGGAUAGGAUAGCCAGAUCACCAGGUGGCACAGAUCACAGACCUCCCCGCAGAAUAAUUUGACCACUGAUUAAAUUCCCUCCAGAGUAGUCUCUUUCCUAAUAAGUUUUUGUACCCCUAGCUGCUUCUGCAUAUUUACCCACAGCCUCUUUUCCUUCACAGAAUCCUUUCCAUAAAACCCACAGGUGUUCCUGGGACCCGGGAGUCAGCCGAGCUGUACAAGCUGGAACUCUGCAAGAUACUUGGAGAUCAUUCAUUCAUUGAGAAGGAAAGAGAUUAAAGGCUAUGCAGCUGACAGUUGAGUUGC